RNAcentral lists this ribosomal RNA (497 nucleotides) under uncultured bacterium. RNAcentral's name for it is "partial 16S ribosomal RNA". It matches the Rfam family "Bacterial small subunit ribosomal RNA", at positions 28 to 507 of the family's 1533-position model. The record is from RNAcentral.
GAUGAACGCUGGCGGCGUGCCUAAUACAUGCAAGUCGAGCGAACAGACGAGGAGCUUGCUCCUUUGACGUUAGCGGCGGACGGGUGAGUAACACGUGGAUAACCUACCUAUAAGACUGGGAUAACUUCGGGAAACCGGAGCUAAUACCGGAUAACAUGUUGAACCGCAUGGUUCAACAGUGAAAGACGGUUUUGCUGUCACUUAUAGAUGGAUCCGCGCCGCAUUAGCUAGUUGGUAAGGUAACGGCUUACCAAGGCAACGAUGCGUAGCCGACCUGAGAGGGUUAUCGGCCACACUGGAACUGAGACACGGUCCAGACUCCUACGGGAGGCAGCAGUAGGGAAGCUUCCGCAAUGGGCGAAAGCCUGACGGAGCAACGCCGCGUGAGUGAAGAAGGUCUUCGGAUCGUAAAACUCUGUUAUUAGGGAAGAACAAAUGUGUAAGUAACUAUGCACGUCUUGACGGUACCUAAUCAGAAAGCCACGGCUAACUACGUG